Molecule: ribosomal RNA, 352 nt
Filed under: Candidatus Mycoplasma turicense
Lineage: Bacteria; Bacillati; Mycoplasmatota; Mollicutes; Mycoplasmatales; Mycoplasmataceae
Description: bacterial SSU rRNA
Rfam family: Bacterial small subunit ribosomal RNA
Source: RNAcentral
UAGCUAGUUGGCGGGAUAAAGAGCCCACCAAGGCGAUGCCUAGGUAGCUGGUCUAAGAGGAUGAACAGCCACAAUGGGAUUGAGAUACGGCCCAUAUUCCUACGGGAAGCAGCAGUAGGGAAUCUUCCACAAUGGGCGAAAGCCUGAUGGAGCAAUGCCAUGUGAAUGAUGAAGGCCAGACAGGUCGUAAAGUUCUUUUAGAGGGGAAAAAUUUGAUGGUACCCUCUGAAUAAGUGACAGCAAACUAUGUGCCAGCAGCUGCGGUAAUACAUAGGUCGCGAGCGUUAUUCGGAUUUAUUGGGCGUAAAGCAAGCGCAGGCGGGAUGAAUAAGUUCUGCAUUAAAAGCAGCUG